UACGUAGGUGGCAAGCGUUAUCCGGAAUUAUUGGGCGUAAAGCGCGCGUAGGCGGUUUCUUAAGUCUGAUGUGAAAGCCCCCGGCUCAACCGGGGAGGGUCAUUGGAAACUGGGGGACUUGAGUGCAGAAGAGGAGAGUGGAAUUCCAUGUGUAGCGGUGAAAUGCGCAGAGAUAUGGAGGAACACCAGUGGCGAAGGCGGCUCUCUGGUCUGCAACUGACGCUGAUGUGCGAAAGCGUGGGGAUCAAACAGG
This 253-nucleotide ribosomal RNA is filed under the name uncultured bacterium. RNAcentral's name for it is "partial 16S ribosomal RNA". It matches the Rfam family "Bacterial small subunit ribosomal RNA", at positions 524 to 776 of the family's 1533-position model. The record is from RNAcentral.